Molecule: ribosomal RNA, 613 nt
Filed under: Mycobacterium sp.
Lineage: Bacteria; Bacillati; Actinomycetota; Actinomycetes; Mycobacteriales; Mycobacteriaceae
Description: bacterial SSU rRNA
Rfam family: Bacterial small subunit ribosomal RNA
Source: RNAcentral
UGAUCUGCCCUGCACUUUGGGAUAAGCCUGGGAAACUGGGUCUAAUACCGAAUAGGACUACGGGGUUCAUGCCUUGUGGUGGAAAGCUUUUGCGGUGUGGGAUGGGCCCGCGGCCUAUCAGCUUGUUGGUGGGGUAAUGGCCUACCAAGGCGACGACGGGUAGCCGGCCUGAGAGGGUGACCGGCCACACUGGGACUGAGAUACGGCCCAGACUCCUACGGGAGGCAGCAGUGGGGAAUAUUGCACAAUGGGCGCAAGCCUGAUGCAGCGACGCCGCGUGAGGGAUGACGGCCUUCGGGUUGUAAACCUCUUUCAAUAGGGACGAAGCGCGAGUGACGGUACCUAUAGAAGAAGCACCGGCCAACUACGUGCCAGCAGCCGCGGUAAUACGUAGGGUGCGAGCGUUGUCCGGAAUUACUGGGCGUAAAGAGCUCGUAGGUGGUUUGUCGCGUUGUUCGUGAAAACUCACAACUCAAUUGUGGGCGUGCGGGCGAUACGGGCAGACUAGAGUACUGCAGGGGAGACUGGAAUUCCUGGUGUAGCGGUGGAAUGCGCAGAUAUCAGGAGGAACACCGGUGGCGAAGGCGGGUCUCUGGGCAGUAACUGACGCUGA